AGUAAGGAUUUAGAAUUGUUAAG
This 23-nucleotide small nuclear RNA is filed under the name Arabidopsis thaliana (thale cress). Its description in RNAcentral is "snRNA_03120". Lineage: Eukaryota; Viridiplantae; Streptophyta; Magnoliopsida; Brassicales; Brassicaceae. The record is from RNAcentral.